GACGAACGCUGGCGGCGUGCUUAACACAUGCAAGUCGAACGGUGAUCCCAGGAGCUUGCUUCUGGGUGAGCAGUGGCGAACGGGUGAGUAACACGUGAGUAACCUGCCCCUGACUCUGGAAUAAGCGCUGGAAACGGCGUCUAAUACCGGAUACGAGACGCAACCGCAUGGUUAGUGUCUGGAAAGUUUUUCGGUCUGGGAUGGACUCGCGGCCUAUCAGCUUGUUGGUGAGGUAAUGGCUCACCAAGGCGAUGACGGGUAGCCGGCCUGAGAGGGCGAUCGGCCACACUGGGACUGAGACACGGCCCAGGCUCCUACGGGAGGCAGCAGUGGGGAAUAUUGCACAAUGGGCGAAAGCCUGAUGCAGCGACGCCGCGUGAGGGAUGACGGCCUUCGGGUUGUAAACCUCUUUCAGCAGGGAAGAAGCGCAAGUGACGGUACCUGCAGAAGAAGCACCGGCUAACUACGUGCCAGCAGCCGCGGUAA
This 486-nucleotide ribosomal RNA is filed under the name uncultured bacterium. RNAcentral's name for it is "partial 16S ribosomal RNA". It matches the Rfam family "Bacterial small subunit ribosomal RNA", at positions 28 to 523 of the family's 1533-position model. The record is from RNAcentral.